CAGGAACUAGCAAAGGAAGGGAUGCCUAAUAGCUUGGGCAUGGAAGAACUUGGGAUGCCUAACAAUGGUGGGGCAUGUCGAACGCCAAGGGAGAAGAGAAGGGAGAGGAAGAGAGAACGUGGGGGGGUCUCCAAAGGUGAGUAUGGGCUACUGGUUGGAUGCUCUAAGAACCUUAGAAAAGGUCUCUUUAAAUAGGCAUAAAGAUUGAAUCCUAUUC
RNAcentral lists this long non-coding RNA (217 nucleotides) under Elaeis guineensis (African oil palm). RNAcentral describes it as "long non-coding RNA (EGUI_LNC039416)". The record is from RNAcentral. Lineage: Eukaryota; Viridiplantae; Streptophyta; Magnoliopsida; Arecales; Arecaceae.